RNAcentral lists this ribosomal RNA (524 nucleotides) under bacterium enrichment culture SBR_L_B32. Its description in RNAcentral is "bacterial SSU rRNA". It matches the Rfam family "Bacterial small subunit ribosomal RNA", at positions 338 to 877 of the family's 1533-position model. The record is from RNAcentral.
CCUACGGGAGGCAGCAGUUGGGAAUCGUUGUCAAUGGGGGAAACCCUGAACACGCGACACCGCGUGGUGGAUGAAGGCCUUAGGGUCGUAAACACCUUUUGCACGGAAAGACUUAGGACGGUACCGUGCGAAUAAGCUCCGGCUAACUACGUGCCAGCAGCCGCGGUAAGACGUAGGGAGCAAGCGUUGUCCGGAUUUACUGGGCGUAAAGAGCACGUAGGCGGACUGUUAAGUGUGAAGUGAAAUCUCCAGCGCUCAACGCGGAAAUUGCUUCGCAUACUGGCAGACUAGAGGGUUGCAGAGGUAACUGGAAUUCCCGGUGUAGCGGUGACAUGCAUUGAUAUCGGGAGGAACUCCUAUGGCGAAGGCAGGUUACUGGGCUUCUCCUGACGCUGAGGUGCGAAAGCGUGGGUAGCAAACAGAAUUAGAUACUCUGGUAGUCCACGCCCUAAACGAUGGAUACUAGACGUAAGAGGUAUCGACCCCUCUUGUGUCGCAGCUAACGCAUUAAGUUCCCGCCCUGG